Molecule: long non-coding RNA, 644 nt
Organism: Poecilia latipinna (sailfin molly)
Lineage: Eukaryota; Metazoa; Chordata; Actinopteri; Cyprinodontiformes; Poeciliidae
Exons: 2
Source: RefSeq, a predicted model, not a curated record
GCAGAUCAUCUAAAAGAAAACUGAAAAUCUGCAUCAUCCAGGAAAAUCCCGAUAUUGGUAUCUGAAACUAUGAAGAUCCAGGUUGUUGCCGUCCUGAUCCUCGCUCUCUCUGCAGCCGAGAUCUCCGAGACUCUGAACUUCUUCCAGAAGCACGUCGUCAAAAGCAUGAAUCCCCGAAGUUGCGACAGCAAAAUGAAAAGAAUAAAUGCAGCUGAAAGAUGGUGCAAGCCGAUCAAUACCAACUUCUUGGACCCAGAAGGAGUCCUAAACGGAAUCUGUAACUUUGGUAACAACCAUCAAACACAGGCUAUAGAUCUCCAAAUUAUUGAUUGUCAAAGUUUGAGGAAAUCAAACGGAUACCGUCUUUGCACAUACAUAGCUGUCAAAGGUAGAGCAACUAGUGUUACAGUCUUGUGUGAUCAAAACCGUGUGCCUUAUCACCUGGAUAAUGUUGUGAUAAAAAUAAAUAAUGGCUAAUUUUCCAUUUUGUUCUGCAUCUAUGUUCUGUACAAGCAGCAACGACAGAUAUCUGGAACAACUUAGAACCUUCUCCUUCUGAAUUACUAUUUGAAAUAAAGCAUUUUCUGCAUCUUGGAAAUAAUAUUGACAAACAAUAAAGUAAAUUGGAAAAGAAAUGUAACUAC